Molecule: ribosomal RNA, 635 nt
Filed under: Gyminda tonduzii
Lineage: Eukaryota; Viridiplantae; Streptophyta; Magnoliopsida; Celastrales; Celastraceae
Description: eukaryotic LSU rRNA
Rfam family: 5.8S ribosomal RNA (bases 248-405)
Source: RNAcentral
ACGCAGAACGACCCGCGAACGAGUUAAGCAAGACCACCGCGGGCGCCCGGCCUCCGGGCUGGUCGCACGCAGCGCCCCGGGGGGGAGGGACGUGGGAAGCCGCGGCACCCCUCCCGCGGGAGCAAAAAAUGAACCCCGGCGCGAAUUGCGCCAAGGAAACUAAAAAGGAAGAAAGAUGUGCGCUCCCCCCGCACCGAAAAUGGAAGAGCGAGGCGGGGGCGCCGUCGUUCGUGCAAACACACAGAACGACUCUCGGCAACGGAUAUCUCGGCUCUCGCAUYGAUGAAGAACGUAGCGAAAUGCGAUACUUGGUGUGAAUUGCAGAAUCCCGUGAACCAUCGAGUCUUUGAACGCAAGUUGCGCCCGAAGCGGUCAAACGCCUAGGGCACGUCUGCCUGGGUGUCACGCAACGUCGCAUGCARUCCCCCCCACCUCCCCACGGGGUGGGCGCGGGAAUGCGGAUGAUGGCCUCCCGUGCGCUCCCGCUCGCGGUUGGCCCAAAAUGUAGCCCCCUGGCGAAGGCAGCCACGGCACGCGGUGGUCGGCAGCACAAGCUCCUCAAAAACCGCCGUUGGCAAAGCCCCGUCAGCGAGGGCGAGAGACCCCGACGCUCAGCGAGCGUCAUCCGAGAGCGA